RNAcentral lists this ribosomal RNA (407 nucleotides) under uncultured Treponema sp. RNAcentral's name for it is "bacterial SSU rRNA". It matches the Rfam family "Bacterial small subunit ribosomal RNA", at positions 355 to 753 of the family's 1533-position model. Lineage: Bacteria; Pseudomonadati; Spirochaetota; Spirochaetia; Treponematales; Treponemataceae. The record is from RNAcentral.
CUAAGAAUAUUCCGCAAUGGAGGAAACUCUGACGGAGCGACGCCGCGUGGAUGAUGAAGGUCGGAAGAUUGUAAAAUCCUUUUAUGACUGAGGAAUAAGCCGGGUGAGAGAAACGCCUGGUGGUGACUGUAGGUCAUGAAUAAGCAACGGCUAAUUACGUGCCAGCAGCCGCGGUAACACGUAAGUUGCGAGCGUUGUUCGGAAUUAUUGGGCGUAAAGGGCAUGUAGGCGGUUAUCUAAGCUUGGUGUGAAAGGCAGGGGCUCAACUCCUGGACUGCAUUGAGAACUGGAUAACUAGAGUUACUGAAGUGAAAUCAGAAUUCCAGGUGUAGGGGUGAAAUCUGUAGAUAUCUGGAAGAAUACCAAUGGCGAAGGCAGGUUUCAGGCAGAUAACUGACGCUGAGGUG